GGGAUCCGUCAGGCUUUGCUUGGUGGUGAGAGUGGCGAACGGGUGAGUAAUGCGUGACCGACCUGCCCCAUACACCGGAAUAGCUCCUGGAAACGGGUGGUAAUGCCGGAUGCUCCAGUUGAUCGCAUGGUCUUCUGGGAAAGCUUUCGCGGUAUGGGAUGGGGUCGCGUCCUAUCAGCUUGACGGCGGGGUAACGGCCCACCGUGGCUUCGACGGGUAGCCGGCCUGAGAGGGCGACCGGCCACAUUGGGACUGAGAUACGGCCCAGACUCCUACGGGAGGCAGCAGUGGGGAAUAUUGCACAAUGGGCGCAAGCCUGAUGCAGCGACGCCGCGUGAGGGAUGGAGGCCUUCGGGUUGUAAACCUCUUUUAUCGGGGAGCAAGCGAGAGUGAGUUUACCCGUUGAAUAAGCACCGGCUAACUACGUGCCAGCAGCCGCGGUAAUACGUAGGGUGCAAGCGUUAUCCGGAAUUAUUGGGCGUAAAGGGCUCGUAGGCGGUUCGUCGCGUCCGGUGUGAAAGUCCAUCGCUUAACGGUGGAUCCGCGCCGGGUACGGGCGGGCUUGAGUGCGGUAGGGGAGACUGGAAUUCCCGGUGUAACGGUGGAAUGUGUAGAUAUCGGGAAGAACACCAAUGGCGAAAGCAGGUCUCUGGGCCGUUACUG
RNAcentral lists this ribosomal RNA (663 nucleotides) under Bifidobacterium longum subsp. infantis. RNAcentral's name for it is "bacterial SSU rRNA". It matches the Rfam family "Bacterial small subunit ribosomal RNA", at positions 68 to 742 of the family's 1533-position model. The record is from RNAcentral. Lineage: Bacteria; Bacillati; Actinomycetota; Actinomycetes; Bifidobacteriales; Bifidobacteriaceae.